CGUAGGUUGCGAGCGUUGUCCGGAUUUACUGGGCGUAAAGCGCACGCAGGCGGUUCCGAAAGUCGAAUGUGAAAGCUCCCGGCCCAACUGGGAGAGGCCGUUCGAAACUUCGGGACUUGAAGGCGGGAGAGGCAGAUGGAAUUUCCGGUGUAGCGGUAAAAAUGCGUAGAUACCGGAAGGAACACCAGUGGCGAAAGCGAUCUGCUGGCCCGCCCUUGACGCUCAGGUGCGAAAGCUAGGGGAGCGACCGGGAUUAGAUACCCCGUUAGUCCUAGCUGUAAACAAUGGGCACUAGGUGUUGUCGGUAUCGACCCCGGCAGUGCCGAAGCUAACGCAUUAAGUGCCCCGCCUGGGGAGUACGACCGCAAGGUUA
Molecule: ribosomal RNA, 373 nt
Filed under: uncultured organism
Description: bacterial SSU rRNA
Rfam family: Bacterial small subunit ribosomal RNA
Source: RNAcentral